RNAcentral lists this ribosomal RNA (502 nucleotides) under uncultured bacterium. RNAcentral describes it as "bacterial SSU rRNA". It matches the Rfam family "Bacterial small subunit ribosomal RNA", at positions 28 to 496 of the family's 1533-position model. The record is from RNAcentral.
GACGAACGCUGGCGGCGUGCCUAACACAUGCAAGUCGAACGGAGAUUAUUGAUGAAGCUUGCGAUUUAAUAAUCUUAGUGGCGGACGGGUGAGUAACGCGUGGGUAACCUGCCCAUAAGAGGGGGAUAACAGCUGGAAACGGCUGCUAAUACCGCAUACGCUUUCCGGGACACAAGUGCCGGAAAGGAAAGAUGGCCUCUACAUGAAAGCUAUCACUUAUGGAUGGACCCGCGUCUGAUUAGCUAGUUGGUGGGGUAGAAGCCUACCAAGGCGACGAUCAGUAGCCGGCCUGAGAGGGUGGACGGCCACACUGGGACUGAGACACGGCCCAGACUCCUACGGGAGGCAGCAGUGGGGAAUAUUGCGCAAUGGGGGAAACCCUGACGCAGCGACGCCGCGUGAGCGAAGAAGGCCUCGGUUGUAAAGCUCUGUUGUAAGGGACGAAUGUCGCGAUCAAUAAUACGGAUUGCGAAGUGACGGUACCGUUACCAGCAAGCCCCGG